AACACACGAGGCUUGACCUUCUUGUUGAAUGCUUUUUCACUCUCUGCUGAUAUGACUGACCAUGACACAUGGCAGUUGAUCUCUUCCUUUCGAUCGAAUUCAGCAUCAGCCAACUUGGGACUUUGAGGGUGCUAUUUUUUUUGUUUCUUUCUUUCUUUUUCUUUCUUUUGAUUUUGAUUUCUUUUGAUUUCUUUUGAUUUGGUUUUGCACCCUCCUCCUUCUUUUUCUUUUUUACUCUCCUUUUUUUUUUNNN
Molecule: long non-coding RNA, 253 nt
Filed under: Lathyrus oleraceus (garden pea)
Lineage: Eukaryota; Viridiplantae; Streptophyta; Magnoliopsida; Fabales; Fabaceae
Description: Pisum sativum (pea) long non-coding RNA (PSAT_LNC000696)
Source: RNAcentral